Small nucleolar RNA from Rattus norvegicus (Norway rat), 145 nucleotides. Ensembl annotates it as small nucleolar RNA SNORA29. The record is from Ensembl. Lineage: Eukaryota; Metazoa; Chordata; Mammalia; Rodentia; Muridae.
UGUCCCAUUUAACCAUCACAAAGUCUCACGGAAGAGAUUUUAGUAGCCAUGCAUAUUGAAGCAUGCUUAUAGAUUAAAGGUGCUGUGAUCUGGAGAGGGGCUUUUCAGUAUCCUCCUUGUAUAUGAAAUGACCGGACACUAAGAC